This 494-nucleotide ribosomal RNA is filed under the name Leptobrachella aspera. RNAcentral describes it as "partial large subunit ribosomal RNA". It matches the Rfam family "Bacterial large subunit ribosomal RNA", at positions 1923 to 2593 of the family's 2925-position model. Lineage: Eukaryota; Metazoa; Chordata; Amphibia; Anura; Megophryidae. The record is from RNAcentral.
UUUAACGGCCGCGGUAUACUGACCGUGCAAAGGUAGCGUAAUCACUUGUCUUUUAAAUAAAGUCUAGUAUGAACGGCAUCACGAGAACUAAUCUGUCUCCCUCCCCCAAUCAGUGAAACUGAUCUCCCCGUGCAGAAGCGGGGAUAAUCCCAUAAGACGAGAAGACCCUGCGGAGCUUCAAAUCAAAAAUCAACUGCUUUCCCCCCCCCACUAAGGAGACAUCCACGCAGAUCUGAUUUAGAUUUUCAGCUGGGGCGACUGUGGAGAAAAGAAAAUCCUCCAUGAAAUCUAUGCUAAAAGCUACUGCUACAGGCAUUAAUAAACUUAACUUUAAUUGACCCAUUUUUUGAUCAACGGACCAAGUUACCCCAGGGAUAACAGCGCAAUCCACUUUUAGAGUCCAUAUCGACAAGUGGGCUUACGACCUCGAUGUUGGAUCAGGGCAUCCAAGUGGUGCAGCCGCUACUAAAGGUUCGUUUGUUCAACGAUUAAAG